UAGUCAAGAUUAGUGGUGCUUUUUACCUGAUGCCUUGUUUUUUUCCUCUUUGGCUUGAUCAAAUCUGUUACUCUCUAAAAUGUUGAACUUGAUUAUGCUGUGUUCUUCAGGGAUAAUCCCAUGUCCUGAUACUUCUAAGCAAAAUUUUCUUUGACUGUCCUGGCCUAUCUCUUUUCUUCUUUGAGUGAUGCUCACAAACCAUAGAUCUGCUCAAGCUGGCUUUUUAUAAAGCCAACUGCGGUGGGGAAGCCAGUGAGGCAUAGAAUCUUGGAUAGGUUUGAUGGAAGACCUGACACAAUCCAAUAUUCACAGUGACUUGAAAAGAGAUAUUGCUUCCUACUUUGUUUAGCUAUGGGCCCUCUCCUCUAAUUCCAUUUUCUAUUGUAAUUGCUCCCUAUUUGAAUUCUUCUGCACAUUAACUCUCCAAAAAACAUUCACGGUUUGCAUUAGAUACCAGAAUUGAUCCAACUGAGUUUUUUAAGUUGUGUGCAUUCCUAUUUGUCCAUCUAGCAAAAGCAAGAAUCUCAUUCCAGGAUAUGAGAGGUAUUUUUCUGACUUGGAUUAGGGGAAUCCACUAGCUGCGUAGCGUUGAGACUUGAGAGCUUCGCCCUCUCAUUCUCAUGGAAGAUUCUCAGGUUUAUUAUAUCUCCUUUCCUCUCCAUGAUUUCAGAGUUGUUUUUCCAGUUGUCAAUUUACAUAGUAAAACUAAUCAUAUUAUAUAAUCAGGUUUUAAUUGAAUGUUAACUAUACCACGGAUAGUAGAAGGGGACAUGAAACAUUGUUUUAAUUGGCUGUAUUUGGAGAAUGUAGAGGAAGAUUCUGUUGACUGGAGCACCAGGAAGCUUUGGAAUUGGAUACAAAAUAAGAAAAAGGAAAAAAAAAUGGUAGAAAGAUGCUUGUCCUUGGACAUUGUUUGAAGGCAAGGAAUGGAAUAAGGAAUACAUUCUCUUUUGUUUCCUUCAGUAAGUUUGGUACUUGUUCAGCCCACAUAGUAUAAAAUAGAAGCGGGGCCCAAUUCUUUUCAUCUUCAAUUGGCAUAAGACAGCCGGCACUGCACCGAUUAAUCCUAAGCAUCUGGGACCCAAUUAAAAGAAAAGAGAAGGAUUGUACUUGCUUCCAUACUAACAUUUGAUGAAGGAAAAGACAAUCCUUGCCCUGGACAUGACUACCUGCCCUUGACUGCUCCGUUGGCCAGUUUCUCCUGUAUGAAUCUACACUCAUAUUUCACCACUUGAUUAUUGAUUUAUGUUCUUUUAAUUUCAGUCUUUUCUAAUAUUUUUGUCAAGACUCUUAGCAUUGCUAUCUUUAUAACUUGUCACUGAAUGAUUAUAUGAACAGAUUAUCUCAUUCUUGUUAUAUUCUAUAAUUUUGCAUGAAUUUGCUCACUGAAUUUCACUACAAAUGUACAGAAGAUAUCAUACACAUAGGGUAACACAAAUGGUGUCUCACUUUCACCUGUACGUCUAAAAGUUUUUAAAUGAGCACACAUGUGAUCUUAUGAACCCAUCUUCAUGCAUGAAUACAAUAGAUCUUGACGUGAUGUUCAUUUUACUAAAACUUGUGCUGCUUAUAAGAGUAUUAGUCUUUACUUAGCUUCUAUAAGAUCAAAGAUAUUGCGUUAUGUUGGACUUUGUAAAAUAAUUAAAUUUUUAGAUUUGCAUUGCCAAAAGACAUGUAUGUGUCAACUGCAUUUUGUCGAUGCUUAUGCAGUUGUAUUGAAUUUCAAUGAAGGAUUUGUUCUUGAGGUGAUCAUAUAGAAUUAUACUCUACAUAUUUAAAAUAGGGAAUAUUAUCUAUAUGAUCAACAGCUAAUGCAGAAUAAAUUCGUAUAUUAAACCACGGAGAAAAAUCUGCCAACUUACAUUAAACCCUUGCAACACAUAUAAUAUUUAUUGAUGAAUGAUGACGUAUUUGAAUGCUUGAUAAACGCCUGAAACAACCAUUGCCAAUAUUUAUAGAAAUUAUUAGACUCUCUAAACUAUAGUGUAACAAAAAUUCCCAUUCCUUGAACAAAAUCCUACUUCCCAUUGGCAUUUUUAGGAAGAUCAAUUUGAUUCUGAUUUGUCAGGAUUUUUUUUUUCUUUUUGCAGUUUGGGAGAAUCUAUGAAAAAACCUUUAGGUAAAGUUUAAAGUGGAAUUCCUAAAUAGUUUGCUGGCAUGUGGAUUGGAAUAAAUUGCAAGAGGCUUGAUAGGGUAACUUGCAAGUUACAAAAUUAUAUCACUUGCACUAGAUGAACCAAAUGUGACCACUUGGAAUUCUGCUAGAAUCAUGCUGAUGUAAUAAUUUUAUAAUCUAAGAUAUAACAAGUGAUAAUGUAUGUUUUAAUAAGCCAAGUAAAUUGGUUAACAUUAACUGAUGAUCUUUCCAUGACAAGAAUAUUAUACAAGAAUUAAUAAAUAUCAGUAAUUAAAAGCUGCUUUUUUCUAUUCUAACUCCUGUAUAACUAAAGAAUUUAAAAUGUAGGAAUCCGUGAAGGUAACAGAUAAACAGAGUCAUUAUUUAUUUUCUAUCAUAUGCAUGAUUUUUCUUCAUUGGAAACUAAUUUAAGUUAAAUGCUUCAUGUUUCAUCAUAUUUUGCACUAUAUAUAAUUGCUGAUGAAUUGUGAUAGACAUUCUAAAGUUUGUAUUGCCUUAGCUGUAAAUAGAAUAAACAUGGGUGUUUUAACUUUCAUUUCAUGUCUCAAGUACAAGAUUAUCUUUGCUUUGGUACAUGUAAAAGUACUUUCUUCCAUGUUGCCAAAAUGCCCUUACUCAUUUUUUUGUCUUGACAAGGGCUCUCUCUGUGGAUGCAACUGUGUAUGCAACUAUGCAUGAGCACUUUUACUUGACAUUUUUAACUUUCUGUUAUCACCUUCCUCUCUCUGUGGAUGAUAUUCUCCACUUUGGAAGAGAGGACUUGGAUUUUUGUUCUUCCUUGUACUUACAUUUCCUUGUAUGGAUUCUUUGUUAUUAUAAUUUACUUUAAGGAUUAGAAGAAUCUCCGAAAAGUGAAACACAUCAUGUAGUAAAGAAUCAUUAUGUUAAGGACUAGUCAA
This 3036-nucleotide long non-coding RNA is filed under the name Manihot esculenta (cassava). Its description in RNAcentral is "long non-coding RNA (MESC_LNC005043)". Lineage: Eukaryota; Viridiplantae; Streptophyta; Magnoliopsida; Malpighiales; Euphorbiaceae. The record is from RNAcentral.